RNAcentral lists this ribosomal RNA (497 nucleotides) under uncultured bacterium. RNAcentral describes it as "partial 16S ribosomal RNA". It matches the Rfam family "Bacterial small subunit ribosomal RNA", at positions 28 to 507 of the family's 1533-position model. The record is from RNAcentral.
GACGAACGCUGGCGGCGUGCCUAAUACAUGCAAGUUGAGCGAUGAAGCUUGGUGCUUGCACCAAUUUGAAGAGCAGCGAACGGGUGAGUAACGCGUGGGGAAUCUGCCUUUGAGCGGGGGACAACAUUUGGAAACGAAUGCUAAUACCGCAUAACAACUUUAAACAUAAGUUUUAAGUUUGAAAGAUGCAAUUGCAUCACUCAAAGAUGAUCCCGCGUUGUAUUAGCUAGUUGGUGAGGUAAAGGCUGACCAAGGCGAUGAUACAUAGCCGACCUGAUAGGCAUAUCGGCCACAUUUGGACUUAGACACGGCCCAAACAGCUACGGGAGGCAGCAGUAGGGAAGCUUAGGCAAUGGACGAAAGUCUGAACGAGCCACGCCGCGUGUGUGAAGAAGGUUAUCGGAUCGUAAAACUCUGUUGGUAGAGAAGAACGUUGGUGAGAGUGGAAAGCUAAUCAAGUGACGGUAACUACCCAGAAAGAAACGGCUAACUACGUG